RNAcentral lists this unclassified non-coding RNA (337 nucleotides) under soil metagenome. RNAcentral's name for it is "partial contains 5.8S ribosomal RNA, internal transcribed spacer 2, and large subunit ribosomal RNA". The stretch from base 1 to 120 matches the Rfam family "5.8S ribosomal RNA", at positions 35 to 154 of the family's 154-position model. The record is from RNAcentral.
GAUGAAGAACGUAGCGAAAUGCGAUAAGUAGUGUGAAUUGCAGAAUUCAGUGAAUCAUCGAAUCUUUGAACGCACAUUGCGCCCCUUGGUAUUCCAUGGGGCAUGCCUGUUCGAGCGUCAUUUGUACCUUCAAGCUCUGCUUGGUGUUGGGUGUUUGUCUGGCCUCUGCGUGUAGACUCGCCUCAAAACAAUUGGCAGCCGGCGUAUUGAUUUCGGAGCGCAGUACAUCUCGCGCUUUGCACUCAUAACGACGACGUCCAAAAGUACAUUUUUACACUCUUGACCUCGGAUCAGGUAGGGAUACCCGCUGAACUUAAGCAUAUCAAUAAGCGGAGGA